Anas platyrhynchos (mallard) is the source of this 490-nucleotide non-coding RNA. The record is from RefSeq and is a predicted model, not a curated record. Lineage: Eukaryota; Metazoa; Chordata; Aves; Anseriformes; Anatidae.
CAGUGUGCAGCUUUCCAGCAAUAUCACCAAUCAGCUCCUGAGGACAACAGGAAGACUUCCAUCAGUGUCUGUAUUCUAAGCAGGAGACUUCCCACAAGAACAGACCUCCUCCCAGCCUGGAAGGGACUCAGCUCUAGGAUUCUAGACUGUCUCCACAUCUCAACAAUGUGCCUGAGUGGACAGUGGGCAGAAGCCUACAGAGUUUGGCAGGGCCCUGUGUCACACAGCACCAGCUAUGAGGAGCAACGCCAGACACUUGCUGGUGGGAGCAAGAGGAAAUCUGCUUCGCUGAGGGUCUUAAGAAGACCUUGCUACUGCACCCGGUUGGUCUUGCAGUGAAAGAACAAGCCUAAAAAUCUCCUGUUCCAGCAAGACCGAGGCUGCUGACUGAGUAAAGGACUUACAUGGCAGCACGUUCCACCAGGGUCUUGAUGAGCUGCAGCAGGUGAGUGGAGAUGAUAGAGAGGGAAUUCUUCAUGAACAGCUUCAA